GAACGCAAAUUGCACUCUCUUCGGAGAGUAUGCCUGUUUGAGGGUCAGUAUUAAUAAAAAUCGGCGUGUUGCAUUUUUGUGAUGCUCCGGAGUUUGGGUUAUCUUAUAACGAUACCUUUCGAGGUGUUUUUAAGAGGCUUAAAAUUGACAUCAUUUUUGCGCAUUUUAGACGUACAUAAAUUUUUUUAUUUCGUUUAUUCUAAUGCCAAAAUCUAUUAGAUGCGACCAUAUCGUGUGGUUCCGUGUCUAUAAAUUUUUUCAUGAUUUGACCUCAAAUCAGGUAGGAACACCCGCUGAACUUAAG
This 304-nucleotide unclassified non-coding RNA is filed under the name Rhizophagus intraradices. RNAcentral's name for it is "sequence contains 5.8S rRNA gene". Lineage: Eukaryota; Fungi; Glomeromycota; Glomeromycetes; Glomerales; Glomeraceae. The record is from RNAcentral.